Long non-coding RNA from Xenopus laevis (African clawed frog), 622 nucleotides. RefSeq lists it as uncharacterized. Lineage: Eukaryota; Metazoa; Chordata; Amphibia; Anura; Pipidae. The record is from RefSeq and is a predicted model, not a curated record. The transcript is spliced from 5 exons.
ACAGUGCUGAAUUCGGAACAGAGGGCAGGAGGCACCAAACAGCAUUGAGCGCACUUCACAGCAGUCUUGAAAGAGAAUAAGGCAACAUAAGGAGAAACUAACGCAACAAUGGAACCAAACAUGGUUGCAGCAGAAGCAGUUUAUCAGGGACUGUAUUGUGCCGUUUCUUUCUUCCUUGAGUCUGUCACCCAGUCUGCUAAGCCCUGAUAUAUUCUGCGGAUCUUUGAAGAGAUUAUACAUCAUUCACAUCAUUCCCUGCUCCAGCUAAGCAUACAAUCUAAGGUUCUCAUUCGCACACACUAUGGGUCCUGCGUUUCACUGAAACUUGAUGCUUUCCUCCUACGUUAAGCGCUGGCUGAUGAUGAAGAAUAGGCUGCAUUUUUUCCUGCACUACCCUGUGGUCCAAAAUCCAACUCAGGGCCCUUAUUGAGCUAAACCGAGCAAACAAGGAGACUGAAGCUACACCACAUAGGAUUUGAUUAUUGGAAGCAACUCCGGUGACCCGUUCUCCUAAUUACACCAAAGGUCCAAGCAGGCUUAAGCAGACAGGUGCAGUUCUACUCUAUCUACUAUAUUCAUGGUUGGGACACCCAAUCUAAAUAAAUUCAGCUCAUGUAGCGAA